AAAGGUCGGGGACCGCAAGGCCUGACGCGAUUGGAUGAGCCCAUGUUCGAUUAGCUAGUUGGCGGGGUAACGGCCCACCAAGGCGACGAUCGAUAGCUGGUCUGAGAGGAUGAUCAGCCACACUGGAACUGAGACACGGUCCAGACUCCUACGGGAGGCAGCAGUAGGGAAUAUUGGACAAUGGGCGCAAGCCUGAUCCAGCCAUGCCGCGUGAGUGAAGAAGGCCCUCGGGUUGUAAAGCUCUUUUGUUGGGGAAGAAAAGCAGUUGGUUAAUACCCGAUUGUUCUGACGGUACCCAAAGAAUAAGCACCGGCUAACUUCGUG
Molecule: ribosomal RNA, 324 nt
Filed under: uncultured bacterium
Lineage: Bacteria
Description: bacterial SSU rRNA
Rfam family: Bacterial small subunit ribosomal RNA
Source: RNAcentral